UAAUACGGAGGGUCCGAGCGUUAUCCGGAAUCAUUGGGUUUAAAGGGUCCGUAGGCGGGCCUGUAAGUCAGGGGUGAAAGUUUGUGGCUCAACCAUAAAAUUGCCUUUGAUACUGCAGGUCUUGAGUCAUGGUGGGGUUGCCGGAACAUGUGGUGUAGCGGUGAAAUGCAUAGAUAUCACAUAGAACACCGAUCGCGAAGGCAGGUGACCAACCAUGUACUGACGCUGAUGGACGAAAGCGUGGGUAGCGAACGGGAUUAGAUACCCCGGUAGUCCACGCCGUAAACGAUGGAUACUAGCUGUGGGGUUUUCGGACUCCGUGGCCAAGCGAAAGUGAUAAGUAUCCCACCUGGGGAGUACGUUCGCAAGAAUG
This 373-nucleotide ribosomal RNA is filed under the name uncultured bacterium. RNAcentral describes it as "bacterial SSU rRNA". It matches the Rfam family "Bacterial small subunit ribosomal RNA", at positions 521 to 896 of the family's 1533-position model. The record is from RNAcentral.